RNAcentral lists this ribosomal RNA (606 nucleotides) under Meyerozyma guilliermondii. RNAcentral describes it as "partial large subunit ribosomal RNA". It matches the Rfam family "Eukaryotic large subunit ribosomal RNA", at positions 37 to 657 of the family's 3401-position model. The record is from RNAcentral. Lineage: Eukaryota; Fungi; Ascomycota; Pichiomycetes; Serinales; Debaryomycetaceae.
UGCAUAUCCCCAAAAGCGGAGGAAAAGAAACCAACAGGGAUUGCCUUAGUAGCGGCGAGUGAAGCGGCAAAAGCUCAAAUUUGAAAUCUGGCGCCUUCGGUGUCCGAGUUGUAAUUUGAAGAUUGUAACCUUGGGGUUGGCUCUUGUCUAUGUUUCUUGGAACAGGACGUCACAGAGGGUGAGAAUCCCGUGCGAUGAGAUGCCCAAUUCUAUGUAAGGUGCUUUCGAAGAGUCGAGUUGUUUGGGAAUGCAGCUCUAAGUGGGUGGUAAAUUCCAUCUAAAGCUAAAUAUUGGCGAGAGACCGAUAGCGAACAAGUACAGUGAUGGAAAGAUGAAAAGAACUUUGAAAAGAGAGUGAAAAAGUACGUGAAAUUGUUGAAAGGGAAGGGUUUGAGAUCAGACUCGAUAUUUUGUGAGCCUUGCCUUCGUGGCGGGGUGACCCGCAGCUUAUCGGGCCAGCAUCGGUUUGGGCGGUAGGAUAAUGGCGUAGGAAUGUGACUUUACUUCGGUGAAGUGUUAUAGCCUGCGUUGAUGCUGCCUGCCUAGACCGAGGACUGCGAUUUUAUCAAGGAUGCUGGCAUAAUGAUCCCAAACCGCCCGUCUUGA